UGGAAAGUGACAUCGCAGUCGGUUGCGGUCCCCGUCUCGAAAACGGGUGGAUGUUACGGCAUUGGGGUUCAACUCCUCCGCUUUCCGC
RNAcentral lists this transfer RNA (88 nucleotides) under Actinomadura sp. WMMB 499. RNAcentral's name for it is "tRNA-Ser". Lineage: Bacteria; Bacillati; Actinomycetota; Actinomycetes; Streptosporangiales; Thermomonosporaceae. RNAcentral also lists the same sequence under 2 other names. The record is from RNAcentral.